CAUAUCAAAUAGCGGAGGAAAAGAAACUAACAAGGAUUCCCCUAGUAACGGCGAGUGAAGAGGGAAGAGCCCAAGAUUGAAAGCUGGCGUCUUCGGCGUCCGCAUUGUAAUCUCAAGAAGUGUUUUCCGCUUCGGACCAUGCCUAAGUCCCUUGGAAAAGGGCAUCAUAGAGGGUGAUAAUCCCGUACAUGGCAUGGAGCGCCCGAAGCUUUGUGAUACGCUUUCUAAGAGUCGAGUUGUUUGGGAAUGCAGCUCAAAAUGGGUGGUAAAUGCCAUCUAAGGCUAAAUAUUGGGGAGAGACCGAUAGCGAACAAGUACAGUGAUGGAAAGAUGAAAAGAACUUUGAAAAGAGAGUUAAACAGUACGUGAAAUUGCCAAAAGGGAAGGGUAGGAGGUCAGAGAUGCGGCCUAGGAUUCAGCCUUGCUUUUGCUUGGUGUUUUUCCUAGAUUGCAGGCCAACGUCGGUUUUGGGCACUGGAGAAGGGUGGAAGGAAUGUGGCACCUCUCGGGGUGUGUUAUAGCCUUCUACUGGAUACAGCGACCGAGACCGAGGACAGCAGCGUACUCGCAAGAGCGGGUGUUACAGGCAC
RNAcentral lists this ribosomal RNA (590 nucleotides) under Ustilago trichophora. RNAcentral describes it as "partial large subunit ribosomal RNA". It matches the Rfam family "Eukaryotic large subunit ribosomal RNA", at positions 39 to 709 of the family's 3401-position model. Lineage: Eukaryota; Fungi; Basidiomycota; Ustilaginomycetes; Ustilaginales; Ustilaginaceae. The record is from RNAcentral.